UUUUAUGUUUGGAACAGAUGAGUAUUCGUAUCAGUCGAUCGUAAUAGAAAAUAUAUUCAGCCCUAUUCCCAUUUUGUUUCCAACUCUCUAUUCCCUCGUUUCACAAUCCAUUGUUGAAGGCAGUCCUCUUUCCUCUUUGUGCCACUGCCGAUCUACCAUCUCAGUCACUGCUUUCUGUGAACAUAUCUACUGUUAGGGACCAGUUGGAAUACACAAAUUAUGAAGACCUAGGGUUUUAAUUCCAAGUGAAGAAAGGGGAUCAGAGAAUUGUCGCGGUAUUGAUGGUUCUCGUCAACGUUGAUAGAUCAAUUGAUACAGGAAUCGGCGGUGAUGAUCAAAGGAUAUUAUUAUGCAUGGGCCGGAAGGUGAGCAGCAUAGGUCACACCGUCGGCACAUGUGGCCGGUGCCCGCUUCCACCACGUCGUAUGUAGCCGCAAUCGAUUUCAAUCCGAUUACUCCCUAUUCUUUCUUCAAGGUUAAUUUAUUUAUUUAUCUUCAAUCCGCCGCUCAUCCAAAAGUUUCUGAUACUCUAUGUUUUUAUCAAUGUUAUCAAGGGAGAGGGAUGGCGAGCUGUUGAUUUUGGUGAAAUUGGUGAUUUUGUCUUGAUAUAUUGAUUUUGUGAUUGUAUGUUUUUAUACUUUUCAUGCUUUUUCUAUCUGUGUUUGCAUUUUUUAUGUGUAGGAGAAUUUGUCAUUCUCUGUUGAAUUCGGGGAUUGAAUUGUUUUUUGACCCCACAUUUGAACUAGAUAGUAAAAUAAUGAAAUAUUUGUCUGUCAACUUUUUUGCAAUGGCUGAUUAUUAGCCUUUUAGAGAUAUUACCUUGAAGCCUGAACCUACGUGCUUCUUAGAUUGCUAUAAUUUGUUGGUCUUCAAGGUGAUCCUCCCUGUCUAGCUGGUCUGAUAAUUCUUUUGAUUUGUCACGAGGUUUGGGCUCAAGGAAAAACUUCGUAUGCAAGACUGCGAAUUGAUAAUACUCAGAUUUAUGUUAAUCGUGUUUUCUUUUCUACAUAAAAUUCAUCCUUUGAUUUCUUUGCUGUUUUGAAAGUGAAUUUCGACCUUGUAGGUCUUUUGUUUUUUUUUGAAUGAAUUUGGGAAUUUGCAAUGACGGAAAAUUAAAGGGGUUGGCACGGUAAGUUUUGUCUGUUUAGCACUAUAAACUGAUAGGGGCAUUAAAUAGGGACACCUAUAUGAGACUGAACUCAGAAUGCCCUACCCUCUGCAAACAUAUAGUUUGGUCCUGCAGUAGAUUUUAACUUCUUUUUGUCUUUAGAAGAUACCAAGUUUUUGUGAAACAUUCUUUUUGCAUACAAUUGUUGUGGAUGGUUCUGCAGUAGAUUUUAACUUCUUUUAAUUGGGAGUAUUUGUUAAUUUCCCAGGCUUUGGAUUUCACUUCAGUUUAUUUUCAUCGAGUAUCCGAGUUCGUACUUGAUAAGGUUUACUUGUGAAAUAAACUUUUUAGCCUCUGUUUGUGAAAUAAGAGGAUGUCAAUCUGUGUUUAAAUGGUUUGGCAAGUAUCUCUGUUGUAUUUGUUUCCAGAUGUCUGGCAUGAAUAGUAGAGCUUUUGAAAAGGCAUCUAUCGCAAGUUUGAAGAGUUUUUGCUCUGCACAUUAUUUACAAGUUUCUGAAUUAUGAAUAUCAUGUUGUUAUAUUUUUCUUCUUUAAGUUUCUGAUUAUUUGUGUGAUGUGGCAGUUCUGUUUGUGUUUGAUGGUAGUUCUAUUUGGAUUUGGUUCUUUGUGUUCUGUUAUGAAAUAGGCACAUCAAAUUUGGGCAAGGGAGUAAGCUAAUAUAUGACCAGAUAUCACAGAUCUAUCUUAAUCAAAAGAAGCUGUUUGAUCAAAAGCUUGGAGGUAGGUGAUAGUUGUGAUUUUUUGAGGUUAAUUAAUCUAUCAACUUCUUAUAAAUCUUUUCUUUCGAAAUUACAGUCAAUAGCAAAUUGCCAUAACUAGACGUGUUGCCAAAGUAGUUUUUUUUUUCAUUCCCCCCCAAAAGUUUCUGCUAGACCUUCAUCUCAUGUGCUAUGCCCUAUUGCUGAUGUUGAUGUUAGAUGAUAUGUAUAAAAAAUCUAUAUGUUUAUAUACAGAUUACACCUAAUAAUUUGUGAACUCGUCCAAUUAUAUUUUGUAACUUAAUACAAAAUUAUGAUUCCAAGUCUGAGUCUUGAUACAGAGACAUUACUUGUAAGGUUUAGGUCAUUUGUAUUACUUAGUAAUAGGUCAUUUUUAUUAGUCGAGUAUGGACUGAUACACACUGAGAAAAAAACAGUAGAUGUGUUGGAAUGAGGGGCAACCUAAUUAGGCAACCAUCUAGCUAAUUUAUUUUCAUAAUGCUUGUAACUAUAAAUCUUGUAACUGCAAAUCUUGUAACUCAAUUCAUGAUGGGUAGGUGAGAGAGAAUUCAAGAUGGGUAACUACAAAUCUUUUUUUUUGUGUGAUUAUUUUCGCACAAUCCUACCAUAUGAAGACCGUGAACGAGUGCUAGUUUUUCCUUUUCUAUCUGAAACUUGUCCGAAUAUUCAGGUACAACUGAAUUGCUUUUGUUUCAAUGGGAAUAAGCAAUCGAUUAACUUUAAUACUUUCUUGGACUGCUAUUGUGCCAUCCACUGUUGCACUGUAAAUGACAUUGUGGAUUCUGAUGAGAGCUUACAAAAUUCUUUGUUUUCUUAUUCUUCGUCUUAUUGAAAUUGAAUUUUGGUGUUUUUAUUGCAGCAUGAAGUCUUAUUGAAAUUGAAUUUUGGUGUUUCUAUUGCAGCAUGAAGUUUACAUACCCAACCUUGAUUUUCUUGAAGAAAAUGAUGAUGAAGUGGAUCUAACAUGUCACACUUUAUUCCUUCUAGUUCAUUGUAAAUUCUUUCAGUUUUUUUAUGUUAGUUAAUAAAUUUUGUAGGUACUAUGGUCUUUGUGAGACCAAGAUACAAUGACAAAUUUUGUAGUUAUUGUGACUCGAGUAUUAUGAUUUAUUUAUAUGAAAGUUUUGAUUUUAUUAGCUCUUUA
RNAcentral lists this long non-coding RNA (2991 nucleotides) under Panax ginseng (ginseng). RNAcentral describes it as "long non-coding RNA (PGIN_LNC004145)". Lineage: Eukaryota; Viridiplantae; Streptophyta; Magnoliopsida; Apiales; Araliaceae. The record is from RNAcentral.